GGCUGGUCUGAAGGUGGUAAUGAGUUAUCUGUUGAUUGUUCACAGUCAGUGACAUAUCCAACUCCUUGUUCUACUCUCUCCCCCUUUCUCACUACUGUACUUGACUAGUCUUAA
This 114-nucleotide Y RNA is filed under the name Macaca nemestrina (pig-tailed macaque). Its description in RNAcentral is "Y RNA (ENSMNEG00000001435.1)". It matches the Rfam family "Y RNA". From Rfam's summary of the family: Y RNAs are components of the Ro ribonucleoprotein particle (Ro RNP), in association with Ro60 and La proteins. The Y RNAs and Ro60 and La proteins are well conserved, but the function of the Ro RNP is not known. Lineage: Eukaryota; Metazoa; Chordata; Mammalia; Primates; Cercopithecidae. The record is from Rfam by way of RNAcentral.